RNAcentral lists this transfer RNA (33 nucleotides) under Rosa henryi. Its description in RNAcentral is "partial tRNA-Val". The record is from RNAcentral. Lineage: Eukaryota; Viridiplantae; Streptophyta; Magnoliopsida; Rosales; Rosaceae.
UAAUUUAUAUGUAAUUAGUGAAAUUUCUAUUUA